CCUACGGGUGGCAGCAGUGAGGAAUAUUGGUCAAUGGGCGCGAGCCUGAACCAGCCAAGUAGCGUGAAGGAUGACUGCCCUACGGGUUGUAAACUUCUUUUAUAAAGGAAUAAAGUGAGGCACGUGUGCCUUUUUGUAUGUACUUUAUGAAUAAGGAUCGGCUAACUCCGUGCCAGCAGCCGCGGUAAUACGGAGGAUCCGAGCGUUAUCCGGAUUUAUUGGGUUUAAAGGGAGCCUAGAUGGGUUGUUAAGUCAGGGGUGAAAGUUUGCGGCUCAACCCUAAAAUUGCAAUUGAUACUGGCAGCCUUGAGUUCAGUUGAGGUAGGCGGAAUGCGGGGUGUAGCGGUGAAAUGCAUAGAUAUCACGAAGAACUCCGAUUGCGAAGGCAGCAUACUGACCUGCCACUGACAUUGAUGCUCGAAAGUGUGGGUAUCAAACAGGAUUAGAUACCCGGGUAGUC
Molecule: ribosomal RNA, 460 nt
Filed under: uncultured bacterium
Lineage: Bacteria
Description: partial 16S ribosomal RNA
Rfam family: Bacterial small subunit ribosomal RNA
Source: RNAcentral